Molecule: ribosomal RNA, 468 nt
Filed under: uncultured bacterium
Lineage: Bacteria
Description: partial 16S ribosomal RNA
Rfam family: Bacterial small subunit ribosomal RNA
Source: RNAcentral
GACGAACGCUGGCGGCGUGCUUAACACAUGCAAGUCGAACGGAAAGGCCCUGCGCUUGUGGGUCGCUCGAGUGGCGAACGCGUGAGUAACACGCGAGGAACCUGCCCUUGACUGUGGGAUAACUUCUCGAAACUGGGGCUAAUACCGGGUAGGAUCUCUUGCUGCAUGGUGGUGGUUGGAAAGUGUCGGCGGUUGGGGAUGUACUCGCUGCUUAUCCGCUUGAUGGGGGGGUAGUUGCUUACCAAGGCUUUGACGGGUAGCCUGCAUGGGAGGGUGACCGGCCACAUUGGGACUGAGAUACGGCGCAGAAGCCUACGGGCGGCAGCAGGGGGGAAUAUUGCGCAAUGGGCCGAAGCCUGAUGCAGCAAUGCCGGGUGCGGGAUGACGGGUUUCGGGUUGUAAGCAGAUUUCGCCUGUGACGAAGCGUGCGUGACGGUAAUGGGUCAAGAAGCAACGGCUAACUACGUG